UGGUCGGCGCUCGCCCCUUGGGUGCGCGGGGCAGGCUGAGCCCGGACCCGCACCCAACGUUUGGGGGCCGGAGCAAUACGUGGACGCCACGUCGGCCUUGUCACUGACCCCACCGGAACCCAGCCUGAGAGAAGCGCGAGUUGUGGGUGCCACAUCUCGGGGCUACGGGGGUGACCGGGUAGAGAGGUGGAGCCAGCAGGGAAAAUGUCUUUGAGGAGGUGAUGGUGAAAUUGAAGUCAAGAAAAUGAGGAGAUAGCUUUGGGAAAAGCCAAGCAGAGACAUUCCAAGUCAAGAACAGUUUGUGCCGAGGCCCUGAGAAAGGGAUAGAGUCACCAAAGUUUGGCAACAUAUAAAGCCAUCCAUGAGAAAGACUACACUUCCCAACCACUCUUGCAUGCCUAGCACAUGGCUGGAUAUGCAGAACGUACUAGGUAGCAGGAGGAAAGAUUCCAGGUGAAGGUGGACAAUGGGGAGACUGCAGCUGAGCUGGGAUGCAGUGGGGAACCAACGAGGUACCGGCGGAAAGUGCCCUGAAUGUAUAGUACGAUAGUGCACCAUGUAAUGUAGGCAGAUUCUCAGCCAGCCCAACCACACAAGCAGGGGAGAGCUCUGCAAGGCUGAAAGGAAAUGCCUCAGGAUGAGAGAGAACAACCAGGGGAAGGAGGAUGGCAACUCGGACAGGACCAAGGCCAUGACCUGAAAAGCAAAGUUUUCUCAAGAGCUGGAGUACUGUCGUUCCCAGUUCUCCCCCAAGCCAAGCCGUGAACCUCAGAACCUGGGUCUUCUAUCACUGACUGUAUGACCAUGGAUAGGUCAACAAACCACUCUUAUCCUCAGUUUACCUAUGUGUAAAGUGACAAGGCUGGACCCUGCCUUCCCUUGACAAGCUUCCUCACUUACUGAACAGACGCGAUGGCCUCCCUUUGAGGGGCCAACCUGGAGACCUCCCAGUCAGUGAGCCCCAAAUUGCACCAAACUCAUGCCCACUGCACCCACACUAUCGGCAUGACCCAAAUCCCCUGGGCUUCAGACCCAACGCCGAGAGCACGGAGAGGCAGCAGAGUCACCACGUGCGGCUCUCAGCCGUCCAGCAGGGACACCGGGGGCUCCCCAGGAAGAGGCACACAGGCAGGUCCAUUCUAAAGGUGCGGCGCUGUGCUUCCCCGGGUGCUGUAGCUGCACCACCGGUGAGGCUGCCCAUGCCUGUACCAGUAACGAUCCAGGCCCCUCAGUUCAGUAAGCAAACCCCUGUGCUGAGAACCAGGAACAUGCAAUUGGACCUGGUCCAGGACACAGAUACUACAAGAGUGAAAGGCCUUGGAAUGCCAAAGGAAAGUCAAAUAUGUUGCUAAUCCUAGGAUAUGGUGAGCUGUUAAAUGAACAGAAACAGAGAAUUAGGCAAAAAAACAAAACAAACCUAGAGUAAAUAACAUAAUGGGCCACUGUUGGUCCUGGCUGGAAAUGCCCCGGUCCCCACUUGCUAGGAUCCCUUCCUCCGAACAGAUCCUCAAAUGCACUCACCUCUCGACAGAGGAAACAGCCUGGCCUCCGCACAGCCAUAAUCACAGCUCCAUUAUUCUCCCAGAGCGUCUUUGCUUUAAAAGUCAUUGGUUCUGAGGAGAAGAAAAGGGAAUUCAGUAUCACUUCCUCUCAGCCGGGCCCCAACCUCUAAGCUCCUCAUAAACAGCACCAGGCCAAACAGAGGACGUGCAAAAGUAUUUCACAUGUGGGAAAAAGCAAACAGGAAACACGGAUAGGGAAUAUUCAUCUUUCCAAGGAAAAUGAAUCCAGUGUAAGGGUCCUACUAUAUCACCAGAAGGCCCCUCCCCCAUAAAAAUCUAGUUGCAAACUUGAACAUCCCAAACUGGAACAUUUCUGGAAAAAUAGCAUAUUCCUUUGCUGGUCUCAAUGGACCUUGUAACAAUCCUUUAGGGCAGAUACAUGGCCAAAACCUGAACGAAAUCUUGCACUUUGGCCAAGAAAACCCCAACUCUUAAAAAAGUAUUCGAAGAAAUUAGGUCAAAAGAAAUUAAAAACAAAAAAAAAAUUUAACCUAAAUAUGUUAACUGCAACGUUAUCCAUAGGAGAGGGCAGAAGAUGUCCAACAAGGAAAUUCUUUGGGUAGCAGAGUAGUGUAGCUCAAGCCCGGCUCCAGUCACACUGAGUCCGCACCCAGGUGUGACCCGGGGCAGGCUAUAUCUCCUCCCUGAACCUCCAUUUCCCCGUUUGUAAAUGCAGAUGCCUAGCAGCUCCACUUUAGGCCACAGGGAGUAUUAAAAGAUGGAUAUAAAAGUGCUCUCCAGGUAAUACAGAGUUAGUGAGGGCUCAAUAAGUACUAUCCCUUAUUAUUUUAGCAUUUCUCAGAGGAAUCCAUGUCCCUGUGGGAUGUUAUAUAGGAAAAAAAGAAGGUGGGAGGGGGUUGAAAUCAAAUGACACUGGGAAACUCUGGGUCGAACACAGCUAAAUAGGACUCCCUGUGCAGGGCUUCUUAGUCCCUUACUGAGGUGACCUACAUCAUAAAUCUGCAGUCACAUUUCCUGCCUUCCCUUGACAAGCUUCCUCACUUACUGAACAGACGCGAUGGCCUCCCUUUGAGGGGCCAACCUGGAGACCUCCCAGUCAGUGAGCCCCAAAUUGCACCAAACUCAUGCCCACUGCACCCACACUAUCGGCAUGACCCAAAUCCCCUGGGCUUCAGAUCCAACGCCGAGAGCACGGAGAGGCAGCAGAGUCACCACGUGCGGCUCUCAGCCAUCCAGCAGGGACACCAGGGGGCUCCCCAGGAAAAGGCACACAGGCAGGUCCAUUCUAAAGGUGCGGCGCUGUGCUUCCCCGGGUGCUGUAGCUGCACCACAGGCGAGGCUGCCCAUGCCUGUACCAGUAACGAUCCAGGCCCCUCAUUUCAGUAAGCAAACCCCUGUGCUGAGAACCAGGAACAUGCAAUUGGACAUAGGGUUUCUCAAAUUUAUUGGACUCAGGAGCUCCUGUUUGUGAAGAUCCAGGAGCCUGGAAUUCCUCAUAACACACUCUGGAAGGGUUGGUUGAGUAAACAGUGGUACAAUAUUACUAAAUAUUACGAACGAUUAUCAUUAUAUUUAGAGAGACAACAUGACAAAAUGAAAAAUGCUUUUGGUAAGAAAAAACUAAUACUCAGCCAUAAAAAGAAACGAAACUGAGUUAUUUGUAGUGAGGUAGAUGGACCCACAGUCUGUCAUACAGAGUGAAGCAAGUCAGAAAGAGAAAAACAAAUACCGCGUGCUAACACAUAUAUAUGGAAUCUAAAAAAAAAAAAAGGUUCUGAAAAACCUAGCAGCAGGACAGGAAUAAAGAUGCAGACGUAGAGAAUGGUUAAGGACACGGGGAGGGGUAAGGGUAAGCUGGGACAAAGUGAGAGAGUGGCAUGGACAUAUAUACACUACCAAACGUAAAACAGAUAGCUAGUGGGAAGCAGCCACAUAGCACAGGGAGAUCAGCUCGGUGCUUUGUGACCAC
Mesoplodon densirostris (Blainville's beaked whale) is the source of this 3492-nucleotide long non-coding RNA. RefSeq lists it as uncharacterized. The transcript has 5 exons. The record is from RefSeq and is a predicted model, not a curated record. NCBI's taxonomy places the organism in Eukaryota, Metazoa, Chordata, Mammalia, Artiodactyla, Ziphiidae.